UGGGGAAUAUUGCACAAUGGGCGCAAGCCUGAUGCAGCCAUGCCGCGUGUAUGAAGAAGGCCUUCGGGUUGUAAAGUACUUUCAGCGGGGAGGAAGGCGAUAAGGUUAAUAACCUUGUCGAUUGACGUUACCCGCAGAAGAAGCACCGGCUAACUCCGUGCCAGCAGCCGCGGUAAUACGGAGGGUGCAAGCGUUAAUCGGAAUUACUGGGCGUAAAGCGCACGCAGGCGGUCUGUCAAGUCGGAUGUGAAAUCCCCGGGCUCAACCUGGGAACUGCAUUCGAAACUGGCAGGCUAGAGUCUUGUAGAGGGGAGUAGAAUUCCAGGUGUAGCGGUGAAAUGCGUAGAGAUCUGGAGGAAUACCGGUGGCGAAGGCGGCCCCCUGGACAAAGACUGACGCUCAGGUGCGAAAGCGUGGGGAGCAAACA
Molecule: ribosomal RNA, 427 nt
Filed under: uncultured bacterium
Lineage: Bacteria
Description: partial 16S ribosomal RNA
Rfam family: Bacterial small subunit ribosomal RNA
Source: RNAcentral